UGACGGGAAGAUGCCGGCCGGG
Molecule: unclassified non-coding RNA, 22 nt
Filed under: Chlamydomonas reinhardtii
Lineage: Eukaryota; Viridiplantae; Chlorophyta; Chlorophyceae; Chlamydomonadales; Chlamydomonadaceae
Description: small RNA Cre_2886
Source: RNAcentral